Molecule: long non-coding RNA, 902 nt
Filed under: Hordeum vulgare
Lineage: Eukaryota; Viridiplantae; Streptophyta; Magnoliopsida; Poales; Poaceae
Description: long non-coding RNA (HVUL_LNC001133)
Source: RNAcentral
UACUACGAGAGUUAGUUAAGUAUACAACAAUAACAUGUAUAUCAAAUAUACCUGAUUUUUCCUUGGCCGCCUUCUUAUCAGCCAAAUACUUGGGGCAGUUGCGCUUCGAGUGACCCAGUCCCUUGCAAUAAUAACACUCCGUUUCAGGCUUAGGUCCACCCUUGGGUUUCUUCGUCGGAUUGGCAACAGGCUUGCCGCUCUUCUUGGAGUUACCCUUCUUGCCUUUGUCGUUUCUCUUGAAACCAGUGGUCUUAUUGACCAUCAACACUUGAUGCUCUUUCCGGAGUUCUGACUCUGUGACUUUCAGCAUCGCAAAUAACUCGUCGGGUGAUUUGUUCAUCCCUUGCAUGUGUAUAGUUCAACACAAAGCUCUUAUAGAUAGGUGGCAGUUACUGAAGAAUUCUGUCAGUGAUAGCCUCUUGCGGGAGUUCAAUCCCUAGCUCAGCUAGAUGGUUUGAGUACCAUACAUUUUGAGCACAUGUUCACUGACAGACGAAUUCUCCUCCAUCUUGCAAGCAUAGAAUUCAUCGGAGGUCUCAUGCCUCUCGAUCCGGGCGUUCUUCUGAAAGAUAAACUUCAACUCCUGGAACAUCUCAUAUGCUCCAUGACACUCAAAGCGUCGUUGAAGUCCCGGCUCUAAGACAUACAAGACUGCACAUUGAACUACUCAGUAGUCCUCCUUACGUGUUAACCAGGCGUUCAAAACAUCUUGGCUAGCCGUAGCGGGUGGUUCAUCUCCUACCGCAGCAUUAAGGACAUAAUCCUUCUUCCCAACUUGCAGGAGCAGCUUUAGAUUACAAGCCCAGUCUACAAAGUUGCUUCCAUCAUCUUUCAACUUAGCUUUCUCUAGGAACGUAUUAAAAUUCAGGGUUGCUACUGCGUGAGUCAUUGAUCUACAACAC